RNAcentral lists this unclassified non-coding RNA (432 nucleotides) under soil metagenome. RNAcentral describes it as "partial contains 5.8S ribosomal RNA, internal transcribed spacer 2, and large subunit ribosomal RNA". The stretch from base 1 to 120 matches the Rfam family "5.8S ribosomal RNA", at positions 35 to 154 of the family's 154-position model. The record is from RNAcentral.
GAUGAAAAACGUAGCGAAAUGCGAUACGUAAUGUGAAUUGCAGAAUUCAGUGAAUCAUCGAAUCUUUGAACGCAUAUUGCGCUCUCUGGUAUUCCGGAGAGCAUGCUUGUUUGAGUAUCAGUAAACACCUCAACUUCCAUAUCUUUUUUGAAAUGGGAGUUGGACUUGAGUGAUCCCAACGCUUUUCCUCACCGAAAAGUGGCGGGUUACUUGAAAUGCAGGUGCAGCUGGACUUUUCUCUGAGCUAUAAGCAUAUCUAUUUAGUCUGCCUAAAAACAGAUUAUUACCUUUGCUGCAGCUAACAUAAAGGAGAUUAGUUCUUGUGCUGACUGAUGCAGGAUUCACAAAGACAGGCUUCGGCCGACUUUGUAAACUCGAUCUCAAAUCAAGUAAGACUACCCGCUGAACUUAAGCAUAUCAAUAAGCGGAGGA